Long non-coding RNA from Corvus hawaiiensis (hawaiian crow), 6734 nucleotides. RefSeq lists it as uncharacterized. The transcript is spliced from 3 exons. The record is from RefSeq and is a predicted model, not a curated record. NCBI's taxonomy places the organism in Eukaryota, Metazoa, Chordata, Aves, Passeriformes, Corvidae.
GGCGGCACCCGGGCUGUCCCCGAGAGUCCGCGGUGGUGCCUGCGCGGUGACACAAUUCCGACUCUUGCCGCGACCUGGUCUCGUGGCCUCCUGAUGAACUUUUUUUUUUUUUUUCCUUCUGGAGGAGUUUCUUCUUGUUUUGUGCUCUUCAAUGGGAAGAAGAUAGGGCUGUAGCGUUUAAGUGAUGUGUUCAGGCCGGCUUUAAGUUGUUUUUGUCUAUUUGUUUAGCCAUGUUAAGGAAGAGCUGUGGGAGUGCAGCGUCUCCUGUAAGCCUGGUGCUGAGCUGGCUCAAGCAGUGCGGGUCGGAAGGUGCCUGCGGGAGAUGGGGGGUGCUGGUGGAACGGGCCUCGGGAGCAUCAGUCAGGACCUUCUCUCGGAAAACAGGAAAACAGCUGCCAUGCUUCCAUCUCCUGGUGCUUAGCACUGGGUGCCUGUAGGAGGAACGCUUUUCCAUGUGGCUUCACUACUAGAGACUAGUUAGUCUUCCUUUGAAAUCUGGGGUACAAAUCCCAAACUGUGCUCUUGGGCACAGAUUUACCAUGUUCUUCAAUGAAGAUACCAGCCCUGUGCUAAAUGAGCUGCUGUCUGCCAGAUCCAGAUUCGGUCUUGGCUGUGACCCCUCAGAAAUGCCAAGUGUUUCCAAGGAAGCAGGCCUCUGCUGGAAGCUGAGAGGCCCGUGUGUGAGAGCAGCCACAGUAAUCCUGGGUUUUCCCCAGGAAAAAGGACUGAGAACAGAAUCCCUGUUCUUCAUGAUCUCCUCAUGUGGACAUACAGCAUUAAAAACAGUUGCACCUUAUUCUUUCAGUGACAACUUUCUGGCAGAGGCAGAAGCAGUAAUGUUUAUACUGUGAUAUCAAACAGUGCCCUUUCUUCUCCACUCUUGCCCAUCCCCACUGAAACAGUAAAAUAUCAGGAAAAUUCACGGCUAGAAUCUCUGUCUUGCUGCAGUCAGAUUGUGUUUAGCUCUAAAUCCUGGUCUGAAUACAACUAAUACUGUCAAAGAUUUUGGUUUUUCAAAUUUGAGAGAAAAAUGGUGGACUCAGGCCCAUCUUUAGUGGGGGAUCUAUUAUCAGAUGCCAGGGGUAGUUAGAUCAGAACAUAAUUACAUACAUCAGUGCAAUUUUCAGUUGUUAGUCAUUCUUCCCUAAUGGUGAAAUGCGUGACAGUUUCAGGUUUUGAUUGGCACCGCCAUUACCUGCUCUUAGUAAACAGAUUAUUGGCCUCUUUUUUUUUUAAUAGAAAUUUGCCAUCUUCACCUUGCACACAGUCUUGUUACCCAGCCUGCUCUAAUGUGUGCUGCUACUAAUAAAUGAGCAGCUGCCAUGGCUACUGUAGCCAUACAAAGAAAAGCUCUUCGGCUUUUAAGGAGUGGCUGGAGGCAGGUAAUUAACCACAGCUUCACUCCUUGCACUCAAAGCGUCUGGAAAGCAAUGCACCGGGCUUCCCGGUGGAUUUUCCUUUUAUCAGCACUUACUUCAAGGAUUGCAAUGUCGCUGCCAGUUCUGGCUGCAGCAAGAGAGUAAGAAAAAGCAAGGCAAAUCCAGUUAUAAUUAAGCUGGUGAUAACAAAGGGAUCUUAAAAAUAUAAUAGCAGAUUAAUCUUUGGAGAACUUCCUUCUCCUGCUUCCUUUCCCCCAUUUUGGGCUUUACUCCUUCAUGCUGUUUUCUGUUCACUGCUUCAAGAAAUGCAUCUCUAAUGCAUCCAGGAGUAGGAGGGUGUUCACCAAACAAUCUUGGCUCUUUUCAUACUAAUGCAUUGUCAUUUAUGCAUCUUAAUCCACUGGUCCUCUAUUUCCGAAGAAUCCCUGAUAUUAUAGAGCUAUUUAAAAAUAAUUUUUUAGCAUGCAGGGUAAAUCACAUCCUGCUAUGUAGCAGAUUGUUAUUUGUCUGUCAGCCUACAGUAAGAGGUCUGAUUUCUGCCCACUGACUUCACUGCAAAGUUCUCAGUUGCCUAUAAUUAGGGUAAAAUUGGGUCCAAGAGUGAUAAAUUGUAUCUUCUACAGCACAGAAGAGCGUACCCUGACUUUCAGCCAUAUCAAUCUGUUUGCAAACAACAGUGAAAUUCUUUCUGGCUCUCACUGAGCCAUGGCAACAUGAUAGGCUCUUAGACCUGUAGAUUGGAUUUCAGGUCAGAAAUUGCUACUUCCAGCUAAUUUGAAUUCUUGUAGAGGGAGGCAAAAAUUCAGUGAGAGACUUGCUGCAAACCUAUACAUCCUGGGCAAGGUGUAGGCCAAGAACUGCAGCCUCUUUGUCUCAAUAACAAAAAACUCUUACCAGGAAAGCUACUGGUAUUGGUUUAUUGGAGUAUAUUUUAUUUCUGUCUCUCUCCUUUCAUGUCUCAUUUAGAGCUUAUUCCCUUGUCUCAGAAAUUCAAACCAUUAGUAAUUGCUCUUUAAAGGUCGACAAUAAUUUUAAGUUGCUAUAAAAUUAAUCUGAAGCUGAAGUGAAGCUGAAGUUGCAAUUUCACUCAUACUCCUACUGUUCAAGGAGUAUAUUUUAAAGUGUUUGAGGCUUUGGGCCAAGCAUUGGUAUAAAUCAAAAUAAAUACUUGGCUGACUUGCUUGGGUGGCUUCCUUUGGCAAUCUGUUUCUAGCUCACAGUUUGGCCUUCUUUGCAACUGAGAUACCUGGUUCUUUUUCUGCCAGCUUUUUUUUUUUUAGUUGUUUGUUUUUGCUCUUGUUUUUGGUUGCUGUUUUUGCAUUUUCUGUCUGAAGCAAAAAGUAUCUUGGUUCAACAGUCUGACAUUGCACUUCAUGAUUUCUCAACCCUCCAGUCAAGAGUUUUCAAGCUUCCUUGACUUUUGGCACUGCAAUCCACAUGUUUAAAAAAAUACUGCUUUUUACCUAACUUGUGUAGGUCUCUAUAAUUAAUUUUUUUCCAAGACAAAGAAUUAUGGUGAUAACUGCUGGCAUUGACUCACACUGCUGUUUGUGCCCAGCCUGCUUACUGACUGACUUCCAUCAGGCUGCUAAUGUAAGGUUAGCGAGACUCUGCAAGAAAAUAAGCUUCUUAAAGAUGUCCUUCUUUUAAACAUAGGUUUCAGUCCAUCUUCAUCCCUUCCCCAACCUCUCCUGAUUCCUGAACUGUGUUUUCUGUGGCCUCACUCCUAAGGCAUGUUUGAGCCUUGCAUAAUGCCUGACUGGGGAGGAGGCAAAUAGUGAUGAAAGCCAGCUGCCUCAGCCAGCUGGGCAACUGAGUUCUGGGGAAGCAGUUUUUGUCCUUGGUCUCCACCACCCCCUUCUGCACCAGUACUGACUGUGGGAGCCAGCUCAGUAAGUACAGCUGAGGAACUAUGGCUGACUUGGGAUGACUGGAUUCCUCUUGAGAGCUUAAGUUCCAGCUGUUCUCUGGGCUUCUGCACCCUUUAGAAAGGAUGAGUGGGAUGUUUUGUUGUCCUGUUGUUUUCAACUGAUUUAAGUAUCUUUUAAACUUGGGGACACUUGGGGAUAACAAGUGAAGUGAAACAGUUGUCUUAGCAUCUUUUGAAAAUACUUCAAACAGCAGCAGAGUGCAACUUACAGGGAAAAUAUUUCCCAUUUUGGGGUGAUUGUGUUUGCAACCCUGGGUCAUUUCGAGAAUCUCUCAGCAUGCCCACUGCAGACCACCAGAAAAAGAAAAAAAAAGAAAAAGGAGGAGCUAAACAGCUGAAUUUUCUACUGUAGUAGCACGCACUGUCUGGCCAAUACAUUCAUUUUGAAAAACAGCACUAUUGCAACUCAUUCUGGUCAAAAUCUGAGUGGUGAAAGAGUAGUAAGACUGAACUGGUGGGUAGGAAUUGCAUCUGCACUGCUCAGUGCUUGCUCCAGCUCUGAGACUGGGAGGAGACUUCAGGCUCCUCUUGGGCCAUACUUCUGCUGUGAAGCCAUCUGAUGGCAAAAAUACAGUAGGAAAGACCACUUCGAGAGUUAUAGCAGAUUAUUAGGAAAUGUGCCUGUGUAAGAAAAUUCUUUUUCUUUGCACCACAGAGCCAGGCACGCUCCUUGUCUUUGUGUUUUUUGGCUAUAGGGACAGAUUCUGCCUCAUAGAAGAGCAAUGUUGAUUAUCUCAAAAUACUUGCAGAGGGGCAAAGCACAGCCAAGACCCACUCUCCACCAUGUGCUGCUGGUCAGCUGGCACAACAGCAUUGUACGAAGAAAACAUUUUUUCUUCCUUCAGUGAAACACCCGUUCUUCCUUCAGUAAAAAGCCCAUUGCAUUAGAAGCAGCAGGAUGAAUUCUGCUAUGCUUCUAUCUUAUACUAAUUGUGUAUUAGGGUAUACACAAGCUAAUUUUAAAGUGAGAUUUUUCAUUCCCAGCCUGUGAAACAUUCUGUUUUCCAGCUGCUGGAAAAUAACAUGAGUUGAUCCUGUAAUGAACUCUCUCAUGUAAGAAUUGCCUCAUUACCACUAAAUGUUGCCAGCUCUUAGAUUUGUGUUCUACUUCAUAAAUUCUAAAAAGCAGCUCAAUGUAUUUAGAAGCUAUUUCCCUGUUUUAAAAGGAACCAGAGUCUAUUCCAGGACCCAAGCCAGAUCCCUUACAGUUUAAAUGAAGAUAGAUUGCCAUGAACUUAUUUCAGAAGAUGAAGAAAAAGUUUUUGCAGAGCAAUUUCUCUUUCCUUUUCUUUCCAUUUCUUUCCUUUCCUUUUCUUUCCAAACCUGUGCUUUUUGUGUUCCUGAAGAACAGUGAAUAAGUCCACAAAAUUGCACUAUUGCGUGUGCCUACUAGUCAAGUAUGACUAUAAUUUUUUUUCCAUUGACAAAAGGCAAUAAAAGGCCAGAAUCCAUUCUCUCUGAUUCUACAUACCAACUCCGCAGGGCUCAAUUCACUCUAAAAUAAAGUGGAGCUGCUUUGGAAGAGCUAAUGAGGAGGUCUGGAGGGUUUCUCCCAUCAAUUUUUAAUUUGAAUAUAAUCCAUGUCAAUGUUGAGCACUUUAGGUCAGCUCUGUGUUGCUUGACUGCUAUCAAACAAUGAAAAUCUCUUCUAAUCGUGGUGGGUGGUUACUGUGAUUUUUCAUUUUUAUUGGCAGCCUGAAGUAGUGAAUAGGAAAAAGAGGCAGUUUUAUUUUCCUGCCUAGACAGGUAUAGGCAGAGCAGCACAACAAAUUUGUACUGUUAUUCAUGUUGCAUAUGCCCAUAAGAAAUAGAAGGGAAUUUGCUAUAGGCUGCAAAAGUAGUUCACAAAAAUAAAGUUGCCAGGGAGAAACAUCAGUUCUGAACUGUGUACCUUCCAAAUAUCUGGGAAUUCUGCCUGGGCAAAACAGUAAUAUUGGAUCUUAAUAGACAGUGGUACACACGUGUUGGGUUUAACUAAUAAAUCUUUCCAAAAGGAGCUGCAGAAGAGAAAAAUCCAUAAUACAGUUGGGCACAUUUCUCAUUUCCCAUUGAAAUCUGUCUGUUUCCACCAUGUCCAGGCAGAUUUAAGCAGAUGAAAGGGUCAACUAAACAAUGAUUGUAUAUGCACAUAAAUUAAGAUAUGAGAGCGUUCAGUAAUUUAUUUUAGCUAUUAAAAUGCUGCUGUGAUUUUGACUUUGAGAAAGGAAGAGCCUUAGAAGGAUCAGAAGGCAGUAUCUCAUGGCAAACAACCAAAGCUGGAUGAGUUCAAAUAUGCAAGAGGAUGUAUUCAGUCUGUUGAAGAAGGAGCAUGCAACUGUGUCCUAAUAAAAAGAAAUAAUUUAAUUCAUUUGAUCUUCUAGGGUUCUUUCCUUCAUAAUCAAUUCAAGAGAGUAUUUUUUGAUGUUAUGACUUCUUUUUUUCAUAACAUCUUUCAAAACCAGGUCUAGUGUCAAGAACCCCUCCUUUCCAGUGUCAGCUCUGACAUUUGGCUAUUGGUUGGUUCAUUACAUCGCAUUCCUUCUGCACUGCUCCUGGGGAACUGCACAGCAGACAGCUGGGAAAGCCAUGGCUGGACCUGGACUGUGGGUUUCCCAUCCACAGAGGACAGAAAUAUGCAGAGAAGAAAAGCACCAGGUCUGACAUGACAGUGCUGAGAAAAGCUUCUAGCUGAAUUAAUAGUUACACCAGGAAACUGUUGGAUUCUCUAUGGGGACUUGUUUUACUAUCUAAACCCAGAAUUCAAUUUUGCUUGUCAUGUCCUAGCUAGGAGUACAUAAAACAGACUGAAAUUCCAAGUGUGAGUAUAGUCAAAUAUUUAAUCCUGGUACCCUAUUCAGCCAUUAUUUAGUGUUCCUUUCAGUUUUAAGAAAAAAGUGGAUUUUCUUCCAGUUUUUCCUCAGAAAACCUGUUAACAGUUAUAAUUUCUUAUUGCAAGAAGGGCUGAGAAAUUUGGCAUCUGAACAUCAUCACCUUAUGGCAUGUUGUACCUGAACAAAAACGUACCCCCACACUUCACAAAAGCAGAACCCAUGGAAGGAACAGUUGUAGCACUUUGAAGUGCUAUUUAGGCUGUCAAUUCUCUUUCCAUAAAUGUUUUUAAAUCAGGGAUUUAAAUUAAGCACUCACAUUAAUCACUCUCAAACUAAUCAGUGAAUUGAUUCCAAAUCUGGCAGCCAGUCAGUGUUGAUACAAGAUUUGCUGCACGUAUACUCACAAAUUUUGUUUGCAUGGUAUUUUAUUGCAAAUAUUAAAAGGCAAAUGCAGUUGUCAAUUAUGAAUGAAAUUGAAUCAGGAUAAACUGAAGUAUGAAACUGGUGUAUAUACAUUCAGCAGCCUGUCGGUAUGGACAAAACCACCCAUGAUUUGACAUCUUAUUUGAUAGAUCUUCUUGUAAAUAAUAAAUCACAUUUUCUUGAAAACAUGAA